GACCUCGAUCAUGAUUAGGGCCUCUUAGAACGGACACAAUACGAGUUUAAAAAUAUAUACAGUAGUGGGUGUUGUGAGUGACCUUUGUUCCUUCUGCCUUAGACAGAAAGCCUUGUUUUUCAGUAAGCCUUACACAGUCUUAUAUAGCUUGUGGGAUUUUUUUUACCUCAUGUGGCUGUCAGUUUAAGAUACUCGGGUGGAAUAUUUAACUCGGAUGCUUUUCACCUUCUUCUCUCGCUCUUUGCAUGAAGCAGCACAGGUUUCUUCUCCUGAGCGAGCAGAGUGUCUCUCAUAAAAACUAUGGCAGCUAAAUCUGGGAUUUUUGUGAUUUCUCCUUCACAGGUCUCGGUUCAAAAUAUUCAGUCUUGCUGAGAAAGCCCCUUCACACACAGGGAGAUCUAGAGCAGCCAGUAAACUAGAUCAUGUCUCUUUCCUCCUCAGGAAUGCAGCAGAGGAAAGCAGCUUCCUAAGAUGUCUUCCUUGGGGUCAGGGGCUCCCAAUAAGAGAAGGGGAGUCAGCACUUGGAGGAAAAAUUGUACAACACACAUGACGCUGUCCAGGAGAAGGCAAAGAUGGUUUUGCCCUGAUGGAUUUGGCACUCCUGUGAGAGAUGUCUGGGGGGCUGCUUUGGUUAGCAAAAACAUUCUUGAGGCUGUGAUAUAGCCCAGAAUAUCUUUGGUGCUCCAUGCUACAUAGAUAUUAACUCUAUUACAUUCCUUGUCUCAUGGCCACUAAAUUAAUGAAGGAAUUAGCAUAAAGAUGCUUCUACUGAGAUGCAGCUUUCCCUGACGUCGGUGGCACCGCUCCCGCCUUGUUUGCCAGCAGAAAUGGGAGCAGAGCGGAGAGGUCAGGGGAUCUUCCCCUUUGCUCACAAACAUAUUUGGCCUGAUAUUUCUCCCCCUGAAGGGAUGAGCAUCUCCUCGCCUGGCCUCCCUGCCCCCCGGGCCUGACCCCCACCAGCCCACCCUGCAGCUGUGGGAGCCGGGGGGCUGCAGGUGGAGCCCUGGGGGGGCACGUGUGGCCGCUGCCACAGGGUGGGCAGGGGGGUGAGGGGCUGUGACGAGGCCUCCCCUGUUGCCCCUGCCCCAGCGGGGAGCAGGGCUGCUGCUAAGCUGCGCCAAAUCCCCCUUAAAAACCUGUGGUUUGGUGUCUUGCUGGGUUUUAUUUCUCUCUCCUGUUCCUCUCUCGCCCUGGAGUUCUGUAGUAGCCCUGAAUUAGCAUGUCACGUGUAUGGCAUGUGGAAAUGAAUCAGGGGCAUGUGAGGAGGAGGAGGACGCCUGUGUCUGUGUUUGCAUCCAAGGAUCUCCUCUCACUCGGUGUUUGCGUAGGUGUCUAGCUCCCUGCUCCCCUCCCCUCCCUGCCUGCCUCGCUCUCCCUGCCUCCCUCUCAUCCCUCCAUCUGGCCAGCCCAGCUCUCCCUGCCAGCUCAAGCAAUACCUCAGGCAGAAAAUGCAGAU
This is a long non-coding RNA of Cygnus olor (mute swan), 1456 nucleotides long. RefSeq lists it as uncharacterized. Lineage: Eukaryota; Metazoa; Chordata; Aves; Anseriformes; Anatidae. The transcript has 2 exons. The record is from RefSeq and is a predicted model, not a curated record.